CGAGGCGAGGGUUAGGACCAGCGUCCCAACCGGUGUGGAGAGGAAGGAGGGAGCGAGCUGUCGCGGCGUGGGGGAGGGAGGAACGACGAGCAGGCCUAUCGGCGGCCAGCGGCGUAGGGAAGAGGGGGAAGGAGGAGGAAGGAGGAAGGGCGACCGCGGUUGUUCCCCCGGAGGACGUACCUGCCGGUCCAGAAGCUUGGCCCCCAUCUCCUCGUCCCCUCCCGGUUCUUCGGCCGCCACCCCCACCUCUUCGGUCCUCCCGGUUCUUCGGUCGCCACCCACACCUCGUUGAUCCUCCCGGUUCUUCGGCCGCCACCCCCAUCUCCUCGUCUCCUCCCGGUUCUUUCGGCCGGCCCUCGUGUGGUGGCAUCCGCAGUUCCCUCGGCACCUGUUCGGCAGUCCUCCUCUUUCGAGGGUCAAACUCCUCCUCUGAUGCCGUGUCUAACUAAACCAUGACAUACACCACACCACACGGGAACGGUCCUUAUAGAUUACACACAGUACUGUGUUAGUUAACAUCUCUAUGUUUGGUCUACAUUUGUUUCUCCUAUACCUAAGUCAUGCCGGUGCUCACUUCCUUACGACAAGGUUAAACCUAGAACCUCUUACAAAAGAGUGACACCAAGUCCAAUUUGACAACAAGAUGACAAGGAUGAGUCGGAGGAUUACAAGAUACAGAACUACGCGGAAGAAGGUCGAAGAGAUAACCAAAAGAGAAGUGUGAAUACAUUCAUGUACAAGGAGGGAAGGAGGUUUAGAAGGGGCCGGUACCAGCAAACGUAGACCAGUAUCAACAAACGUACAAAGUGAAAGCAACCACGAAGUACGCAGCCAGAGUCACGAGAUUCGUCUGGUUGUAAAGAGUAAAACCGCUAACAUAAUAACCCCGAAACGAUGUACACAUCCAAACUUAACUACCGAUCUUUAUGUCUCACGGUAAAAAAGAAUACCUCACUAUUAAUUCUUCUGUAUGUAUCGACGUUUCCCUAACGAGUUUACUUUGUUCAACGAUUAAAACAUAGAAACUGUGAGUACCUUUUCCACGUACGGUUAGGAUUAAUAUUGGUAUAGUGUAUAUACACCUUGACGUAAUAUGCUUACCACAAUAGUCCUACUAUCUAAAGUCAGUAUCUUGACUUGACAAGGAAAAGAACCACAUAUACACAGUAUAUGUCUUAAGUCUUUUUUUUUAACCUGUGAUGUUAAGUAUAUAAAUGAUAAAUCUUAGCUCUGUAGGUUAGUACAAUCCUAUACUAUACCAGAAGAAGGUCCCCGAGAUUCAUAAUACUUACACGUAUAGGACUAUGUACAUUAAUAUUCCACCAAUGUUCGAUCGACCUGUACACACCGUUUUACGAACGUAAAGUCAAAUACAUCCUUCUCCUCGUAGUUAUGGAUGAAGAGGACGGGACAUAUACAUUGCAGAAACAAGGUUCGUUAAUCAUAUACCAUAAUCUCUAAGAAUAUAAGUAUAUAAACAAACUUUGAACCACCUAAGGAUGGUAGAGAUAUAUUAAUGUUGUUUUGGUUAUCCAGUCUCGCUACACAGAGAAUCACGGUAGCUAACCCAUGUAUGCUUCGGAGAGUAGGGUGUCCAAGUAACAAAGAUGGAGUUUGGUUAGGACGGAGGAUUUAAUAACUAUGUACACAACGAAGUAAGUAAAUAAAACUCUUGUGUAUAAUUUGACCAAACUCCAUUAAACAAAAAAAAAAACAAAAAACAAAAAACUCUAGUGUAUAAUUUGACUAUUGUGGUAGGGAACCGGAGGAACCAGCAUAGUUAUUAACAUGGACUUGUCACUGUUUAGAGUUCGCUGACAACAUGGACUUGCCCACACCUUGGUUUAUCACCAUGGCACAAGACUCUAGACAAAAAAACACGACGAUAGACGUCCUUUUAAGGAUCCCUAAACCAACUACCUCCGUAGCGAUAAACAGCGACCUAAUAGGUAAAAACGUCGUGGUCGUUUCAACAAAAACAAACCUUACCGGUCAAGAGUUAAAGAUUUAGUCGAUAUGAUAUGAAGAACAGUCCAAUGUAAUAGAACGAAGCAAAGUCAGAUAUACAUCGUGUUUUUAUGAUCCACUGUACCAACCAAACAUACAAUGUGAUUACUUGUGGUGGUAUUCCUUUUCCCGUAACGUGAAGAAACAAUUAUAAACCAGACAAGGAUAAGCCACUGUAUGAUAAGACCAACCAAUCGAAGUGCGAGAUUUCGAUCCUAAAAUUAAGAAACUCACAUUCAUUACAUAACAAUAUGGUCUACUUUAUAUACGUCUGUGACGAUUGUACUAAAAAGAAUAUCCGCCUUCAUAUAAAAAAUUUAGGUAGACAAGUUAAGAAUCCUGGUAUGAAAUGAUCUUCAGGUCUUGAUACACUAAACCAUUAACACAGUUUCGAGCGGACCAACACGGCAUAACGUAACACUUACGAUACAACAACCCCUUAGUCGCUCGAACCAAUAUAAAGACACCGACAGUACAAUUGACCACCGGCAUCACGAAGAACGAUCGAUGCUCAAGAAGAACACACAAACGAAUCACCGAAUCAAUACACACACACACACACAGGCCCGUGGACAACACAAAAAACGAACGAACAACCACGCACGUACUAACAACACUGACCCGCGACCAACAAGCCACGACCCGACGACUACCGUACGAUGGACGAAGCUUUUUUCCUUACUUUCCUUCGUAAACAAGUAUCUUGUUUAUAUAACAUUUAAAAAGGUAGCUUUCGGACGUAUAAAUCGUUCCUUUUCCUCAGAUAUCUCGGAAUCCAAGAACAAUAUACAACUAAAACGUUUUAAAGACGUCGAUAUAUAAACGAGUUAGGUUUUCUGUUUAACAUGAGUUGGAAGUCAUAUUACAUAAAGAUUAACAAGUAUUGACGAAUUAAAAAACAACACUAAAACGUUCUAUAACUUUAAUAACAUAAAGCUUUAACAAUGUGACUAAGGAGCUACGAGACAAGUACCGAAAAAAUAAUAAAAUAGGAAGAAACGAAAAAAGGAAAGGAUGUUCUUCUACAGCUCAGUACAUUAUACAAGUUUCUUCUCUCUUAGACGUAAAAUACUUAGGAAAGAAGAAAGAAGUAACAAUGAAGUUCAAUCACUUAGUAAAUUCAACAUAACUCGUCGAAGUACACUACCAAAGAAGCAGAUGUGUAGAAUAAGUCAGUGCUCCGGUCAUUCUAGAAAACGGAAAAUCCUUUUUCCCUCUACGGUAAAUCUGGAAUGAGAAGGUUGAACUAGAAAUUGAACGAUGAUGACAAAGAUUCGUAAAAAAUAAACGAAGUCUCCUACUCGAGUGGAAUAAGUCACCUACACGGUUCAUUUUUUUUAAUCUUUGACUCGUUAAUCAAGGUGAGAAUAUAAAACAUGUCGUCAGGUUUAAUAGGUUAUUUAGUAAACAAUCGUCCCAGUUUAAUAUCUUCAACUUAGUCAACAAGGUUUAAUGGGUCACUCUGAAUAAGGUAAACAAAUAGGAAAACAGGAAAAUUAGUUCUUGUUACAAAUCUCGAAUGUACCAACAGCUUUAAAUCAAUACAUUUUCUCCUUAUAACUAUAGUACGUUACUAGUCACGUCUAAUCCUAUCAAUAUCUCAAGAAGGAGUCAAAAGUAACUCGUUUCUAACUUAGACAUACUAAACAAGAUUAUGGUUCAUUUAGAACCAGACGUAACACAAUCAAAAGGGUGACUCAAAAAAACCGAUAAAAGCAAAUUUAACCAUCAACUACACUUUUUCACACAACUGUACGUACAUUGGUUUAGUACAUAAUUACACUCCAUGAUGUAUAUGAACGGAUAGAGAAAGGUCUUCUUGUCGGGAGAACUAGGUUGAUCCUUGUAGUUUUGGUUUACCCUAUAGUAACUCACCUGAAGUCUACCGGUACGACACUCAUGUGGUAAUCAUAGACUUAGACGAAACAUAUUAAUUCUGUGUGAAAGAUGUAUAGGGACGAUAUAACUAUGGUACACUAGUGAAUUGUACUCACACUGAUCGGAUAAAAGAACGGAUUGACACACUAACGUACAUCAUUACGUACCGAAGAGAUAAAUUUACCUCUCAACACAAAUAGUAUUAUUAAUAUAUGGUGUCUGAACAAAGAAAGACAAAUAUAUUAUUACGUCAAGCAGAAGAUGUUAUACAAAAGAAGUAAUGUACAGAAGAUUAACAAGUAGAAAAAAAGAGAAAGCUGCUGUUUUAUUGAAGCGCAAAACUUUAUAAAUCAUGCGGUAGUACCAGAAAGAAUUCCCACAAGUACGGAAAAAAGGAAGAUAUUUAAUCACCAGAAGAUAAGUACAAUGCUUGGGGUUAUACCGUAGAGCGGUAAGGGGUGCUAGGUGUACAAUUCAUACCUAAAUAAAUUACUAUUAAACUAUAGUUGACGGAAAAGAAGUCCUAUUAGACUGUGGAUUAUUCCUGGUUCUCUUGUUGUUUCUAAGAUUCCCCGUUGGAAAACCCAAAUUCCUAUAUUUGUUGUACAGAAUACUCCUAAACUUGACGACAAGAAAAUCAAGGUGAGAAUUUACAAAACCAAGAACUUCCGGACGUGAAAGGACCACCUCAUCCUCGUUUUAUUAAAUCUCCGAAAUUUCGACGACGUGAAAUCAUCAAUCCUAGUUAAGAAACAAAACCAAACUUUACGAGGAGUUAAGGAGGAUAAACUAACAUAGGUUUCCUGUACUUUAUAUAAGUCUUUCGCAGUCAAAACAUAAGACACACACGAAAGUCAAUUAGGAAGUUUUAAAGUACUAUGUAGCCCAAAUAUUUCCCGAUAGAGUGUUCGUGAACUAUCGUUCUCUUAAUGAGGUACUGUAACGGAGUUAACGUACAUUACCGAUAAGAGGUUUUAUUCUAACAACGAAUGAAACGAAUGGUGGUAGAGUAGGGUCCGGGAGAUCGAUAUCAGUACCUUUUCUACCACAAGCCUCGAUAUAGAACCUUUUAUAAAGAACAGUAAGGUAAUUUAAAGCCUCUAUACCUCCUCGACCUGUACCUACCGCUCUUCCGCCGGUCUGGUCUCAAGCGGAUGGGGAUGACGAUACUCCUGGUACUCCAACGGAGGAACACGCGCGUACAUCUUCUCCUCGUGGGUAACCUCACCUCUAUAUCAAACGUGUUACAAGACCAGGUCGUUUCAUAAAAUCUACACGUUUUCUCAUCACAGAACCCCAUCUUUUAAUUAUAACUAGAACUUUGGAGCUCUAUCUUUUUUCUCGAAAAGUGUAAACAACAACAACUCAGGACUGAUCGUUAAUAUAUUGGGAGUCCGGAGUCAUCGUUAAUACAAUGGAAGAAUAAACAAGAGUCCAAUGAACGGAAGAAGAAAGUUGGGUAGAGAGAUUCUUAAUAUCACGUCCAAAACAUCCCGUCCAAUUUCUUGGGUUAUGUUACGAGAAACUCAGCUCAAAAAAA
RNAcentral lists this ribosomal RNA (5425 nucleotides) under Triticum aestivum (bread wheat). RNAcentral's name for it is "partial small subunit ribosomal RNA". Lineage: Eukaryota; Viridiplantae; Streptophyta; Magnoliopsida; Poales; Poaceae. The record is from RNAcentral.